This is a long non-coding RNA of Myotis myotis, 1954 nucleotides long. RefSeq lists it as uncharacterized. The transcript has 3 exons. The record is from RefSeq and is a predicted model, not a curated record. Lineage: Eukaryota; Metazoa; Chordata; Mammalia; Chiroptera; Vespertilionidae.
UGUGCCCUGACCAGGAAUCGAACCGUGACCUCCUGGUUCACAGGUCAACGCUCAACCACUGAGCCACACUGGCCGGGCCAGUGCUCGCUUCUGAUGUGGCUUUUAAAGAUGGGGGACAAGGCCGUCCUCCCUCAGGGCAGCUGGGCAGGUAAUGAGCAAGAGAUUGUCCCAGAGCCGCAGGUAUUCAGAUGGGCUGACCACGAAAUGCACUGUUGCCAGAGAAGGGGACCCUCACCGUUCCAUAGGGUUUGCUCAGUGCUACAGGCCAACAUCUGCGGGGUCUCUGCCAUGAACCUUCUUUUCAAAUGGGAGUUUUUGUUUUCACUGCUCUUUUCCUGCUGCACCACGGUGUGCUGCUCAUUUUGAGGUAGAUACCUUUUCUUUUAGUUGAUGGGUUUCCAGACCGCGAGGAGCCUCUCUGAACCAAUGAAGUGCUCUGUACACCGCCCGGGAUGCCGGUGUUUGCGCUGCAGGCUGUGGUUACAUGGGACCUUGAGGGUGUUGCUCCUGGGAGAGCCAUGGAAAGAAAGGUGGUCCAACGCCUGAAAAACGGAAGUCAUGAAGUCUUAGGCGGGUGACCUAAUAAUGACCAUGAGACAAGGGUCGGCCAGGGAUUUGUGUCCUCAGUGAAAAAGGCCGUAUGGAGUUUUCUUGCCGAACGGACCGCAAGAACUUAUUGACACAGGGUCUUCCUUUUCCAAAUGGAAUAACUGAGUCCUGGGGAAUCAAAGUCAUGCUAAAGGUCACCCUGCUACUUAGCAGCAAAGCCAGAAUCAGCACCCAGGUGGCUCUGGCUCCUGGGGCAGGCUCUUUCAGAACAUCCGGUGUCCCCCCUCAGACAGGCCCAAGGUCAAAAUGCGAGGCCCCUGGAGCUGCAGACGGGUUUCGAUCGCUCAGAAAGCAGUUGGAUCCAGCUGACUCGUGCUCUUCUGGUUGGAAAGAAACUUGCGUUCUGGCGAAGCAGGGGAUUUCUGUCUCCGAGAGGAUGCCAGCGCGGUUUCUUCUGCCAAACCAACCGAAGAAAGGACAUGGGGGUCUCCGGAGUUCAGCAGCAGACGCAAGCCACCUCAGAACAACACUGCGUUCCCGUCUCCUUUUAGGUCGUACAUUCCUUGAGGAUGACGGUUAGUCGACUCCGCACCUCGCCCCUAGCACACAGUUGGUGCAGACAUUGCUUCUGAAUGAAUGAGGCGUAUAAAUCAUCGCUUUAUACCCUGGCAUUGGGCCCUUUUCAAAGAAGCAAUAAACGUGUCGAAUUUCCUGUGCUGUCAGAAACAUUGUUUAAUCAUCCUGUUAAAAAUAAAGGACUCCAGGCUGGCUGAGCAAAUUCUCCAGCCACUAGAUGCUCUUUCCUCUUUGGGCCGCUCAGCUGUGCAGCCGGAAAUGGGUGGUGGGAGAGGAGCUGGGCAUCUGCGAAGACCCGGGAAUGCUGGCUAUGUCGGAAAGUGUUUGGAGAAUGCCUCGGAAGCGGAGGAAGUAUUUGUAGAGCAAUCCACGCACAAAGAUACUCGAACCAGAGAAAAUGCCCUCAAAAUAGAUGCGUGGGGCACAUUCACAGACUGUCACAUUUUCACCACGUUUAGGUGCCACAGCCUACCGUGUGCCUGAGCAGCACGUGUGUGCCACAGACGAUAGGUGCCGUUAGUUGAAAUCGCGAGCUGAGUGUUGAACCAGCACUGAGAAAGCUACCCUCUCAUCUCGCCCCCAGCCUACGCUAUGGUUUCUUCUCCACGGCCAGCAGAGACCGCGAGAAAUGGUCCAGCGUUGGAGUGUCUGGCUGUAGGAAAGUUCCAACCAUCCAGUGGGAAAACACGUUGUUUCAGAGAGUUAAGAGCAAACCAAGCCCCGGCUGGGUGGCUCCACUGUUUGGAGCAUCGUCCCGUGCACCAAAAGGUUGUGGGUUCGAUUCUCAGUCAAGGCACAUACCUAGGUUGCAGGUUUGAUCUCUGGUCAG